UCAAAAAUAAAUAAAUAAAAAUAAAUAAAUAAAACAGCACUCUCCUCUCUCUCUCUUGUUCCUGCUUUUGGCGUGUGAGAGGCCGGCUCCCCCUUUGCCUCCCACCAUGAUUGGAAGCUUCCUCAGGUCUCACCAGGAACAGAUGCCAGCACCAUGUUUCCUGUACAGCUGCAGAACCGUGAGCCAAGACAGAGUCUCACUCCCUUCACCGAGGCCGGUGUGCAGUGGUGCUAUCAAGGCUCGCUGCAGCCCCAACGUCCUGGGCUCAGGUGAUCCGUCCACCUCAGACUCCUGAGUUACUGCGACUACAGAUGAUGGCCCUCCUUGUUCCUUUGCCUUCCCUCCCAUCCAGUCGUAACAGUGGACAUUAAACUGGUGUCUUGAUGUCCAAGCCCCUUCCCUUGCCUGCUGCCGUCUGCCCAGUGGCCAGUCCACACACAUGGCAGGGCUCACAGGGACUGGUGGGUAAAGGAGGAACCAGAUCACCUCCAAGGAGAGAUGGCUGCUAACUCACCUCCAGGCUCUGCCCCAGCAGCCAGGGCUGCCUGACUUUCUAGAACACUUGACUCUCCAGCAGCAAUCAUCUGAAAGCCUGAAAAGGAGAAGAAACAUGGCCAGGCGCGGUGGCUCACACCUGUAAUUUCUGCACUUUGGGAGGCCA
Molecule: long non-coding RNA, 661 nt
Organism: Cercocebus atys (sooty mangabey)
Lineage: Eukaryota; Metazoa; Chordata; Mammalia; Primates; Cercopithecidae
Exons: 3
Source: RefSeq, a predicted model, not a curated record